AACUGGCCCGCGAUGUCAGCAUACACUUUCGCGUUUCGCUUGGUCCUCCCAUGUUCUGAUAGCAUAGGUUUCUAUCUCAGACCACGAUGCCCUGUCUUUUUUGUCUCCCAUUAUUCAGUGCUUCACUGCGAGUAUUUCACGAUUUCGCCGGUAACACUUAACCACCGUGCAAUGUCAACAAAUAUGGCUGCCGCGAAGUGGAUUACAAACUCUACUGGGCAGUCUGUGAACGAGAGUACCGGUAAAUCACGCCAAAAAUCCUUACGUCUUUCUUAUACAAAUCAGCGCUGUCUUAACAAAUUUGUCCAAAAAUAAAUUCCGAUUGGGUUGUUUCUUUCCUUUUCCAAAAAUAAGCUUUUUGUUACGCAAUCCCUGCCGUGGAGGCUACGUACUUGAUUGUCGCAGGCAAAGUGAAGUGAGUUUGGCGAACUCACUUCAUCGUUGCUUCAUCGGACAUGACAAGAUUCCUGCACGAGGUACAGCACAACGAAGAAGCAUUCAAAUCGUGGUUUACAGGAUGCAUCAGAACACCUGUCGCGAAAGCUUUAAUGAAUUGCCUACAGGGAAGCAUCAAGCUGCAAAUUAAAAAGACUGUUGCAAAACUUAUUGAUGUGUCUGUAUGGGUGUGUUGUAGGGGAACAUUUGUGCUGCAUGUUGAUUAGUCCAAUUUUUUGCCCCCUCCAAACAUCCUUCGAAUGGCUUGCAAAUGAUUUAUUUCUGGCGAAUUUAGAACAUACUUUUGCUCUGAUAAUUUUGGUGUAUUUGGGGAAUUUACGCUUAGGGGUUAGUAUACAUUAAGCAUUUCAUUAUUUUCUGCAAACUGUUUUUGUUUCAUUCAAGAGAUCCAAAAGCAUGUUCAUGAUGUACAUAUCAGGAUUUUUUUUUUUUUUCUGAGUCAGCUCACCAUUAUACUUUGCCCUGAUUCAAUUUGAGAUACGUUGAGGUAGUAUUUGCAGUUGAUUAUAAUUUACUUCUUUACUGAACAUUAUACACAUUUCUGCGUGUGGGACCGCAAAAAUGUGUGACAUGUGCUCUGGGAAUAUAGUUCUGCUGUUGUAUGUUGUUCCUUUACUUGGCUGAGAGUUCCCAUUCUCUGAGAGAAGGCCCGUUCAAACAUUGCCAUUUUAUUAUGAAUUGUUCGAUAUUCUGUAGAGUUUGCCCAAAUCUGGCGUGUUACGGGGCUGUAAAAUGACCUUGUUCCUAUAUGUUAUGCUCUCUAUGCAUAACAGUAUAACCUUGUGAGUAACUGUCCUCAUGAUUUUUGUAAAAUGAAAAAUUUUGAACCAAAUUUACAACUCGUGCAAAACUGGAGUGCACUGGUGCCCGCAUGAGAAUUCGCAUGUAUUUAUAUCAUGGUCCCACUGGUGUUUGACGAAAAAUAUCUGAACAAUUACUUGUAAAGUCUGGCCAGGAACAUGCCGCGACAUUCGCAGGCAUACCUCUCGACUUACACCACUUUGUCGUGUUUGUCAUUGCAAGACUCAUUUUCCUGAAACGUUUAAUGCUUCAUUUAGGCUAUAUUCAUCACAUUACUUCUGUGCGCUGUACAGAUAUUGUACAAAUUCAUUUUGUGUGCCACAUGAGACUGGACAUAACUUUAACAAUUUUACCUGUGUAUAUUGCAGCACAUGUUCUAAUGGACGGUGCUGCUGCUGGGUGUAAAGCCUGAUUGCAACACCAGUGCCUUGUUUAUGUAUCAUGCGUAAAAAUAAAUCACUUCUGUCCUUUA
This is a long non-coding RNA of Ornithodoros turicata, 1729 nucleotides long. RefSeq lists it as uncharacterized. The record is from RefSeq and is a predicted model, not a curated record. The transcript is spliced from 2 exons. NCBI's taxonomy places the organism in Eukaryota, Metazoa, Arthropoda, Arachnida, Ixodida, Argasidae.